UUGAAGAGUUUGAUCAUGGCUCAGAUUGAACGCUGGCGGCAGGCCUAACACAUGCAAGUCGAGCGGUAGCACAGAGAGCUUGCUCUCGGGUGACGAGCGGCGGACGGGUGAGUAAUGUCUGGGAAACUGCCUGAUGGAGGGGGAUAACUACUGGAAACGGUAGCUAAUACCGCAUAACGUCGCAAGACCAAAGUGGGGGACCUUCGGGCCUCAUGCCAUCAGAUGUGCCCAGAUGGGAUUAGCUAGUAGGUGGGGUAAUGGCUCACCUAGGCGACGAUCCCUAGCUGGUCUGAGAGGAUGACCAGCCACACUGGAACUGAGACACGGUCCAGACUCCUACGGGAGGCAGCAGUGGGGAAUAUUGCACAAUGGGCGCAAGCCUGAUGCAGCCAUGCCGCGUGUGUGAAGAAGGCCUUCGGGUUGUAAAGCACUUUCAGCGGGGAGGAAGGCGAUAAGGUUAAUAACCUUGUCGAUUGACGUUACCCGCAGAAGAAGCACCGGCUAACUCCGUGCCAGCAGCCGCGGUAAUACGGAGGGUGCAAGCGUUAAUCGGAAUUACUGGGCGUAAAGCGCACGCAGGCGGUCUGUCAAGUCGGAUGUGAAAUCCCCGGGCUUAACCUGGGAACUGCAUUCGAAACUGGCAGGCUAGAGUCUUGUAGAGGGGGGUAGAAUUCCAGGUGUAGCGGUGAAAUGCGUAGAGAUCUGGAGGAAUACCGGUGGCGAAGGCGGCCCCCUGGACAAAGACUGACGCUCAGGUGCGAAAGCGUGGGGAGCAAACAGGAUUAGAUACCCUGGUAGUCCACGCCGUAAACGAUGUCGAUUUGGAGGUUGUGCCCUUGAGGCGUGGCUUCCGGAGCUAACGCGUUAAAUCGACCGCCUGGGGAGUACGGCCGCAAGGUUAAAACUCAAAUGAAUUGACGGGGGCCCGCACAAGCGGUGGAGCAUGUGGUUUAAUUCGAUGCAACGCGAAGAACCUUACCUGGUCUUGACAUCCACAGAACUUUCCAGAGAUGGAUUGGUGCCUUCGGGAACUGUGAGACAGGUGCUGCAUGGCUGUCGUCAGCUCGUGUUGUGAAAUGUUGGGUUAAGUCCGCAACGAGCGCAACCCUUAUCCUUUGUUGCCAGCGGUCCGGCCGGGAACUCAAAGGAGACUGCCAGUGAUAAACUGGAGGAAGGUGGGGAUGACGUCAAGUCAUCAUGGCCCUUACGACCAAGGGCUACACACGUGCUACAAUGGCAUAUACAAAGAGAAGCGACCUCGCGAGAGCAAGCGGACCUCAUAAAGUAUGUCGUAGUCCGGAUUGGAGUCUGCAACUCGACUCCAUGAAGUCGGAAUCGCUAGUAAUCGUAGAUCAGAAUGCUACGGUGAAUACGUUCCCGGGCCUUGUACACACCGCCCGUCACACCAUGGGAGUGGGUUGCAAAAGAAGUAGGUAGCUUAACCUUCGGGAGGGCGCUUACCACUUUGUGAUUCAUGACUGGGGUGAAGUCGUAACAAGGUAACCGUAGGGGAACCUGCGGUUGGAUCACCUCCUU
RNAcentral lists this ribosomal RNA (1536 nucleotides) under Klebsiella pneumoniae. RNAcentral's name for it is "bacterial SSU rRNA". It matches the Rfam family "Bacterial small subunit ribosomal RNA". The record is from RNAcentral. Lineage: Bacteria; Pseudomonadati; Pseudomonadota; Gammaproteobacteria; Enterobacterales; Enterobacteriaceae.